Molecule: ribosomal RNA, 466 nt
Filed under: uncultured bacterium
Lineage: Bacteria
Description: bacterial SSU rRNA
Rfam family: Bacterial small subunit ribosomal RNA
Source: RNAcentral
CCUACGGGCGGCAGCAGUGGGGAAUCUUCCGCAAUGGACGAAAGUCUGACGGAGCAACGCCGCGUGUACGAUGAAGGUCUUCGGAUUGUAAGGUACUGUCUUCAGGGACGAACGGUAGGUGUGUGAAUAAUGCAUCUACAUGACGGUACCUGAGGAGGAAGCCCCGGCUAACUACGUGCCAGCAGCCGCGGUAAUACGUAGGGGGCAAGCGUUGUCCGGAAUCAUUGGGCGUAAAGGGCGCGUAGGCGGAUAAUUAAGUCUGGUGUGAAAGACCAGGGCUCAACCCUGGGGUUGCAUCGGAAACUGGUUAUCUUGAGGACAGGAGAGGAAAGUGGAAUUCCACGUGUAGCGGUGAAAUGCGUAGAUAUGUGGAGGAACACCAGUGGCGAAGGCGACUUUCUGGACUGUAACUGACGCUGAGGCGCGAAAGCGUGGGGAGCGAACAGGAUUAGAUACCCUUGUAGUC